CUAAUAUACCCUGUCACUAUAGAUUGGCUUUGCUUGGUUUUGAACUUGACAUACAUGGCAUCACACAGCAUCUGCUCUUUUUUUUUUUUUUUUUUUUGAGAUGGAGUCUCACUCUGUUGUCCAGGCUGGAGUGCAGUGGUGCGAUCUCGGCUCACUGCAAGCUCUGCCUCCUGGGUUCACACCAUUCUCCUGCCUCAGCCUCCUGAGUAGCUGGGACCACAGGCGCCCACCACCACGCCCAGCUAAUUUUUUUUUUGUAUUUUUAGUAGAGACAGGGUUUCACCGUGUUAGCCAGGAUGGUCUCGAUCUCCUGACCUCGUGAUCUGCCUGCCUCGGCCUCCCAAAGUGCUGGGAUUACAGGUGUGAGCCACCGCGCCCGGCCAGCAUCUGCUCUUUUCUGUGUGGCUUCCUUCACUUAGCUAUGCCGCUGAAACUAAUUCAUGUUGUUGCAGCCAUCAGGAGUUCAUUCUUUUUCGUUGCUGUGUGCUAUGGACUGAAUAUUUGUGUUCCUCUCUAAUUCAUGUCUUGAAGCCUAAAUCCUCAUGUGAUAGUAUCAGGAGGUCAUGAGAACAGAGCCUUUAUGAAUGGGAUUAGUGCACUUACAAGGGGAUGAAGAGACCAG
RNAcentral lists this long non-coding RNA (622 nucleotides) under Homo sapiens (human). RNAcentral describes it as "HSALNT0324981". Lineage: Eukaryota; Metazoa; Chordata; Mammalia; Primates; Hominidae. The record is from RNAcentral.